RNAcentral lists this long non-coding RNA (428 nucleotides) under Androctonus crassicauda. Lineage: Eukaryota; Metazoa; Arthropoda; Arachnida; Scorpiones; Buthidae. The record is from RNAcentral.
AUCCAAUGAGACUGCUCAGUUACUAAGGUCACGAACAUAGUAAUCUAAUGAUAUCGGCCAGCCAUAGCCUACAAAGACUGUAGGCUAUGGUGUGAACUAAUAGGAAUUGAAUGAAAAAGGAACAACCAUUAUGUUCAAGUUAAAAUCAACAGCACAGACAGAAGGAGACAUACCAAAAACCGAACAAGCUGGUCGUUCUCAGGCAGAAGGAGAAACACAAUCAGCCAAAGUUGCAGGUUAUUUAUUGAGAGCCCUUGCACCUGCCAGUAAGUACAUUUUAAUUAUAAACAAUUAUUCAUUUAUUUAUGUUAAAAAUUAUUAUUUUAUUUUAUUUUAAAAAGCAAACCCAGAUAUACAGCUAAUAGCUGAUAAUGUGAAAGAUGACAUAAUCAUUGCCCCGCGGGACAUCAAUUUUUCAAACCCCCAUA